RNAcentral lists this long non-coding RNA (575 nucleotides) under Mytilus galloprovincialis (Mediterranean mussel). The record is from RNAcentral. Lineage: Eukaryota; Metazoa; Mollusca; Bivalvia; Mytilida; Mytilidae.
GAAAUUAUAAAUUCAUUUUGAUUUGUUGCUUAUUUUUUUUAUUUUUUUUUGGUGCAAUUUUAAAAAUAAAUAGAAGGUGCAUUUAAAUUGAUGUUUAUGUAUUAGUUGUGAUUUUGUUCAUUUGCGAAGUACAUGUGUAUAUGUAUUUUGUUCAUUGUUGUUAUUUGAAGUCCUAUUUAUCACACAAUACCAUUUAGUGGGGAGGGUAGGGACCCUCAGGAAUUCCCCAAACAACCAACACAUUUUCUUUGGGGAAAAAAUUUUGCAUUCAUCAAAUGGACCAGAAACCGUAAACGACUUUUGUUGAAAAAUAAAAAUUCACUCUCCCCACUCAACAUUUGCUUGAAUGGAUUAACUCUUAUAAAAGUUUUUGUCACCUGCACAUAGUUUUAUGAUCAAUUAUUAUUCUAUUUUUGUGACAAUCAUUCUGUGAUUCUACAGGACUUCUACAUUCAAAUCAAAUCAUGAAUUCAAUUAUUAAUGUUAAAAAUUAAAAACAUAAAUCAAGAAGAUGAAGAAAACAAAAUGUGCAUUUAAUGGAUAGAUACCAUGUUCUGAUUUAAAAAAAAAAAAAA